AGCCCUGUAGUGUAGUGGCCAAGCACGCUAGGUUCUGGGCCUGGAAACCCUGGUUCAAAUCCGGGCAGGGCUA
Molecule: transfer RNA, 73 nt
Filed under: Candidatus Woesearchaeota archaeon
Lineage: Archaea; Nanobdellati; Candidatus Woesearchaeota
Description: tRNA-Gln
Rfam family: tRNA
About the family: Transfer RNA (tRNA) molecules are approximately 80 nucleotides in length. Their secondary structure includes four short double-helical elements and three loops (D, anti-codon, and T loops).
Source: RNAcentral